Molecule: long non-coding RNA, 232 nt
Filed under: Mytilus galloprovincialis (Mediterranean mussel)
Lineage: Eukaryota; Metazoa; Mollusca; Bivalvia; Mytilida; Mytilidae
Source: RNAcentral
CCUAUUACGGUUACGGUGUUGGAACGAUAACAAGGUUUUUGGGUUUCGGAGGGAUUACUCCGAACCGACAAAAUAUUUCGACUCACAGGGUGAGUUCCGGAUAGGUAUUCAUGACACCGAUACAAAGUGUGAACAUGAAAGCGACACGUCUUACGGUUACGGAGGCUAACUUCGUCAAAGUUUGGCGGAACAAAAAGAAUAAUAAUAAUAAUAAUAAUAAUAAUAAUAAUAA